This 420-nucleotide ribosomal RNA is filed under the name uncultured bacterium. RNAcentral's name for it is "bacterial SSU rRNA". It matches the Rfam family "Bacterial small subunit ribosomal RNA", at positions 29 to 452 of the family's 1533-position model. The record is from RNAcentral.
AUUAAACGCUGGCGGCAUGCCUUACACAUGCAAGUCGAACGGCAGCACGGGGGCAACCUUGGUGGCGAGUGGCGAACGGGUGAGUAAAGCAUCGGAACGUGCCCUGGAGUGGGGGGAUAACGUAGCGAAAGUUACGCUAAUACCGCAUAUUCUGUGAGCAGGAAAGCAGGGGAUCGCAAGACCUUGCGCUCUGGGAGCGGCCGAUGUCGGAUUAGCUAGUUGGUGGGGUAAAGGCCUACCAAGGCGACGAUCCGUAGCGGGUCUGAGAGGAUGAUCCGCCACACUGGGACUGAGACACGGCCCAGACUCCUACGGGAGGCAGCAGUGGGGAAUUUUGGACAAUGGGCGAAAGCCUGAUCCAGCCAUGCCGCGUGAGUGAAGAAGGCCUGGUGUAAGACGUCUUCGUGGGUAGAAGUAGUA